AUUGAACGCUGGCGGCAUGCCCUACACAUGCAAGUCGAACGGCAGCAUGAUCCAGCUUGCUAGAUUGAUGGCGAGUGGCGAACGGGUGAGUAAUACAUCGGAACGUGCCCUGUAGUGGGGGAUAACUAGUCGAAAGAUUAGCUAAUACCGCAUACGACCUGAGGGUGAAAGUGGGGGACCGCAAGGCCUCAUGCUAUAGGAGCGGCCGAUGUCUGAUUAGCUAGUUGGUGAGGUAAAGGCUCACCAAGGCGACGAUCAGUAGCUGGUCUGAGAGGACGAUCAGCCACACUGGGACUGAGACACGGCCCAGACUCCUACGGGAGGCAGCAGUGGGGAAUUUUGGACAAUGGGCGAAAGCCUGAUCCAGCAAUGCCGCGUGUGUGAAGAAGGCCUUCGGGUUGUAAAGCACUUUUGUCCGGAAAGAAAUGGCUCUGGUUAAUACCUGGGGUCGAUGACGGUACCGGAAGAAUAAGGACCGGCUAACUACGUG
This 490-nucleotide ribosomal RNA is filed under the name uncultured bacterium. Its description in RNAcentral is "partial 16S ribosomal RNA". It matches the Rfam family "Bacterial small subunit ribosomal RNA", at positions 30 to 507 of the family's 1533-position model. The record is from RNAcentral.